This 427-nucleotide ribosomal RNA is filed under the name uncultured bacterium. RNAcentral describes it as "bacterial SSU rRNA". It matches the Rfam family "Bacterial small subunit ribosomal RNA", at positions 355 to 773 of the family's 1533-position model. The record is from RNAcentral.
UGGGGAAUAUUGCGCAAUGGGCGAAAGCCUGACGCAGCAACGCCGCGUGAGUGAUGAAGGCCUUCGGGUCGUAAAGCUCUGUCGGAGGGAACGAAUGCUCUUGAGGUUAACAGCCUCAGGACGUGACGGUACCCUCAAAUGAAGCACCGGCUAACUCUAUGCCAGCAGCCGCGGUAAUACGUAGGCAGCGAGCGUUGUUCGGAAUUACUGGGCGUAAAGAGUGUGUAGGCGGUGCUCUAAGUUCGGUGUGAAAUCUCCUGGCUUAACUGGGAGGGUGCGCCGGAAACUGGAGUGCUUGAGCGUGGGAGAGGAAAGCGGAAUUCCUGGUGUAGCGGUGAAAUGCGUAGAUAUCAGGAGGAACACCUGUGGUGUAGACGGCUUUCUGGACCAUAGCUGACGCUGAGACACGAAAGCGUGGGUAGCAAAC